UCGAGAAUCAUUCGCAAUGGGCGAAAGCCUGGCGGUGCGACGCCGCGUGGAGGAUGAAGGCCCUAGGGUCGUAAACUCCUGUCAUCAGGGAGUAAUGGCUCAUAUAGUAACUGAUAUGGGUCUUGAUAGUACCUGAAGAGGAAGGGACGGCAAACUUCGUGCCAGCAGCCGCGGUAAUACGAAGGUCCCAAGCGUUGUUCGGAUUUACUGGGCGUAAAGAGUCUGUAGGCGGUGGGGUAAGUCAGAUGUGAAAUCCCGGGGCUCAACCCCGGAACUGCAUCCGAUACUGCCUUACUUGAGGGUCGGAGGGGAGUCUGGAAUUCUCGGUGUAGCAGUGAAAUGCGUAGAUAUCGAGAGGAACACUAGUGGCGAAGGCGAGACUCUGGACGACAACUGACGCUGAGAGACGAAGGCCAGGGGAGCGAAAAGGAUUAGAUACCCGGGUAGUCCCUGAGCGGGCUGGCAAGGCGCAU
RNAcentral lists this ribosomal RNA (473 nucleotides) under uncultured bacterium. RNAcentral describes it as "bacterial SSU rRNA". It matches the Rfam family "Bacterial small subunit ribosomal RNA", at positions 355 to 825 of the family's 1533-position model. The record is from RNAcentral.